This is a long non-coding RNA of Aethalodelphis obliquidens (Pacific white-sided dolphin), 810 nucleotides long. RefSeq lists it as uncharacterized. The record is from RefSeq and is a predicted model, not a curated record. The transcript is spliced from 3 exons. NCBI's taxonomy places the organism in Eukaryota, Metazoa, Chordata, Mammalia, Artiodactyla, Delphinidae.
GUGUCCAUCUACUAAAAUAUCUGGUGGGGAGGUGGGACACUACUAGCCCUGACAGCCUUUCCACCUAACUUUCCAGAUUUCAGUUCCCCCAGGUGUCUAGUGAGCUGUCCUUUAUUUCUCUUCCAUUCGCAGUUAUUUUGAGCAGUUUAGAAGUUGAGUUUUCAUGAGGCUGCACUGAGAAGUUUGAUUAGUCAGGCAAAGAUGGACUUGAGAGACUCUAAUUAGAGACAGUCUUGUGUUCAAAUAAGGCAUGUGGGAGGAAAGUCACAGCUGACUUUUCCAGACUUCCAUCGAGAGCCCAAGACUCAGAGUGAAAAUGCUGUCAGAUGCUUAAAUGAAAUUUGCUACUGAUAUCUUAACUAGGAGGCAUGGAGAAGCCAGAAAAUGGAAUCAACAAUCCAUUACAUGCCCCACUCCUCUUCUUUUUCCAGUCUUAAAAGAGUCUCCUUCCUCAUCUCCACCUCAUCACUUAUCUGUCCAGGAAGAGAAGAGCUGUGAGAUCCGGAGAGGACCGGCAGGUGAAAUGUCUAGACGGGGGACACAGGGAGCCACUGCCUGCUCUGCCGUGUUGAAUCAUCACGUUGACUACAUGCCAGGCACUGUGUUAUAAUAUCGUCACACCACUGUCCCAAUGUCCCCAAGUGAUAGGCUAACAACCAAGAGGAGAUAAAAGAUAAAAUAACAGGUAGAAUUAUGGUGGAACGUGAAACAGAUCAAUCCAUGAAAGCAACUAUGUGAAUUGUGGAAUAUAAGUUCUCUUUGUGCUCUAUCAAAGUAAAAUUUGCAAAAACUUAGACCAAGGUAAAAAAU